UUUAUUUUAAAAAAAUUAAACUCAGAUCAAUAAGUAUUAAUAACGUGUCAUAAUUUGUUUUCGAAAUAGCCAACCCCAUAUUAACUCUUACCUUAAAAAGAGGGAGAAAGCAAGCUCUUCCUUGUACAAAUUGAUUUGCAAUUUUUCAUCAAUCAUGGCAUGAAUUUGGCAUGUUUCAGCAAUCUUUGAAAUCCGUGUUCAAAGACCCAUCUAGCAUGUAUUUAUAUUCAUGCCAAUUUUUACUAUAUAAAGGACUGAAAACUUUUGGGUGAAUUUGCUUUCCAUAUACUAUAUGUUAAAUUUAAUUGUCUUUUAUAUAUGUAUAAUCAAUUAGUAGCAUGAUUAAUCCUUAAUUAAGUGAAUGUCAUUUACUUUUUUUGAGUUUCCACCGGAGAUGGAGCUUCCAAUUGCACCGUUCUCACUGUGGCAAACGAGACCUAAAGCAAUAAAUUUUGUUCUUAAACUACAAACUGAAAAAGCUGUUGAAGAAAGGAGCAGACGUGAAGCGGGGAGCCAUGGAAGAUGUGGACAUAUCUGUGGGGUUGCAGAUCAGAAUUCUGAUAUUGAAAUGGAAUCGCCAUUCUUUCUAGAACUCAUAAAAGGCCAAAAAAAAAAUGCCACUUUCUUUGACCAUUUAUAACUGAUCCCCAAGAAUUUUGCAUUGGAUGCUGUUAUUAGUACUGAUCGACAUGGUUUUUCUUUUUUUUUUCCUAUGUUCAACAUAAACUUUAUGGGUGGGGGGGACACUGGGAGGACACACAAUCCACGCUAUUUCUCUAGAAUAUUUGCUAAAAUUACUGUUAUUCAGUCUUAUAAUAAAUUAAUAAUGUAUUAUUUUUAUAAUACAAUAUAUUUUCAGGUUUUGUCUUUUCCCUUUCAAAGGCACAUCCUUUGUGAUCUUGGUUCAUUUAAAAUUUUUAUUUUUAAAGUGUUUUUAAUAAGAAUUAAAUUUUUUUCACAACAAGGUUUAGACAAGGAUAGCUUACUUCAACACAAGAUUAAAACAUAUCAUAAACUCCAAUGAGCUUUUAUAUUGAAUUUACAAAUUAUCAAUAGAAAAGAUUAUUGAUAAGAAAAAUCAAAUUUAAAUUUUAUAAAUAAAGUAUUUGAUUUUUACUAAUUCAACCAAUUAAGAAGAAAAUGAAUUCUUUUCUUUAUCAAAUUAAUUAAUUCUUCUAUGUCCUAUAAUAAAAUUUUUUUAUGAAAAGAUUUAUGAAAUAAAUCAGCUGUAUAAUGCUGAAGUGAGCAUAUCAAAAUAUGGUAAAAUAUAUUUUACUUAUUAAUAAUCGUACAUACAAAAACAACAUUAACUAAAAGAAAUAGUUCAAAUACGACAUUGAAAUCAAAUAAAAUUUUAUUUAAUAAAGUAAUUUUUAAAUAUAAUCAAUGCUUCAAACUUAUCAAAUUGAUAUACUAUCGAAUAGAAUUUUUGUACGAUUAGAUCACGGAAGAGAUAGGGUGUUAAAGAAAAUAUGCCAUUCAUGUCAAGUAGGGUUAAAUGCAUAAAUUUGGAACAAAAGAGGAAUAAAAUGAAAAAUAAAGAAAUAAAGUAAUAGAAUAAACUUUUUGGGAGGGAUUCUUUUUAAAUUUGUACUCAAAUUCAGUGCAUGCAAAAUGCAAGAGAAACGUGAAUACCUUUUUAACUGGAAUCCUCUUUGACAAGUGGUUUUUUAUGGUCAUUUCAGCAUAUUCUUUCUUGCAUGCCAACAAUGUUAUUUCUGCCAUCUUUCGUCAUCUUUGAAAAAAGAGACCAGGCCCAUUUUCCAUCUUGAUUUCUAGCUUCCAAAAUCACGUUGAAAUGGGAAUGAGAAGAAUAUUUCUUCGCCUACCAAAAUCAUGGAGAUGACCAAUUUGCUUGUAGCGUAACCUUUUAAAAUUCUUUGUUCUGCUUCCACUUUUGAAUAGUAGUAUUCUUUUUUCUUUUUUU
Durio zibethinus is the source of this 1927-nucleotide non-coding RNA. Lineage: Eukaryota; Viridiplantae; Streptophyta; Magnoliopsida; Malvales; Malvaceae. The record is from RefSeq and is a predicted model, not a curated record.